RNAcentral lists this ribosomal RNA (253 nucleotides) under uncultured bacterium. Its description in RNAcentral is "partial 16S ribosomal RNA". It matches the Rfam family "Bacterial small subunit ribosomal RNA", at positions 524 to 776 of the family's 1533-position model. The record is from RNAcentral.
UACGGAGGGUGCGAGCGUUGUCCGGAAUCAUUGGGCGUAAAGAGUUCGUAGGCGGUUUGUCGCGUCUGCCGUGAAAGUCCGGGGCUCAACUCCGGAUCUGCGGUGGGUACGGGCAGACUAGAGUGAUGUAGGGGAGACUGGAAUUCCUGGUGUAGCGGUGAAAUGCGCAGAUAUCAGGAGGAACACCGAUGGCGAAGGCAGGUCUCCGGGCAUUAACUGACGCUGAGGAGCGAAAGCAUGGGGAGCGAACAGG